GACGAACGCUGGCGGCGCGCUUAACACAUGCAAGUCGAACGGAAAGGCCUGCUUUCCCUUGUGGAUUGCGGGUACUCGAGUGGCGAACGGGUGAGUAACACGUGAGUAAUCUGCCCCCAACUUGGGUAUAAGCCUGGGAAACUGGGUCUAAUUCCCGAUAGGACUGCAGGGUGGUGCCUGUGGUGGAAAACGAUUUUCUAGUGGUUGGGGAUGAGCUCGCGGCCUAUCAGCUUGUUGGUGGGGUAAUGGCCUACCAAGGCGGCGACGGGUAGCCGGCCUGAGAGGGUGGACGGCCACAUUGGGACUGAGAUACGGCCCAGACUCCUACGGGAGGCAGCGGUGGGGAAUAUUGCACAAUGGGCGGAAGCCUGAUGCAGCGACGCCGCGUGGGGGAUGACGGCCUUCGGGUUGUAAACUCCUUUCGACCGCGAGGAAGCCACCUGGUUGGAAGGGUGGUGACGGUAGUGGUAGAAGAAGCACCGGCUAACUACGUG
This 494-nucleotide ribosomal RNA is filed under the name uncultured bacterium. RNAcentral's name for it is "partial 16S ribosomal RNA". It matches the Rfam family "Bacterial small subunit ribosomal RNA", at positions 28 to 507 of the family's 1533-position model. The record is from RNAcentral.